AGUGAACGCUGGCGGUAGGCCUAACACAUGCAAGUCGAACGGCAGCACAGUAAGAGCUUGCUCUUACGGGUGGCGAGUGGCGGACGGGUGAGGAAUACAUCGGAAUCUACUUUUUCGUGGGAGAUAACGUAGGGAAACUUACGCUAAUACCGCAUACGACCUACGGGUGAAAGCAGGGGAUCUUCGGACCUUGCGCGAUUGAAUGAGCCGAUGUCGGAUUAGCUAGUUGGCGGGGUAAAGGCCCACCAAGGCGACGAUCCGUAGCUGGUCUGAGAGGAUGAUCAGCCACACUGGAACUGAGACACGGUCCAGACUCCUACGGGAGGCAGCAGUGGGGAAUAUUGGACAAUGGGCGCAAGCCUGAUCCAGCCAUACCGCGUGGGUGAGGAAGGCCUUCGGGUUGUAAAGCCCUUUUGUUGGGAAAGAAAAGCAGCAGGUUAAUACCCCGCUGUUCUGACGGUACCCAAAGAAUAAGCACCGGCUAACUUCGUG
Molecule: ribosomal RNA, 492 nt
Filed under: uncultured bacterium
Lineage: Bacteria
Description: partial 16S ribosomal RNA
Rfam family: Bacterial small subunit ribosomal RNA
Source: RNAcentral